This 253-nucleotide ribosomal RNA is filed under the name uncultured bacterium. Its description in RNAcentral is "partial 16S ribosomal RNA". It matches the Rfam family "Bacterial small subunit ribosomal RNA", at positions 524 to 776 of the family's 1533-position model. The record is from RNAcentral.
UACGUAGGGACCGAGCGUUGUCCGGAAUCAUUGGGCGUAAAGAGCGUGUAGGCGGCUAUUUAAGUCCUGCGUGAAAUCCUGCGGCUCAACCGCAGACGGUCGUGGGAAACUGGAUGGCUAGAGUGCGGGAGAGGAGAGUGGAAUUCCCGGUGUAGCGGUGAAAUGCGCAGAUAUCGGGAAGGACACCCGUGGCGAAGGCGGCUCUCUGGAACGCAACUGACGCUGAGACGCGAAAGCGUGGGGAGCAAACAGG